GCAUUGUAUGAAAGGACCGGAGGUUAGCAUUCCCCUUGAUAAGUCUGAAAGAAGUCCUACUGGCCUUUACAACACAUAUACAGUUAAGGCAUUGCCACCUAUUCUGUGGCAUCUAACUAUGUUUAA
This 126-nucleotide non-coding RNA is filed under the name Monodelphis domestica (gray short-tailed opossum). The record is from RNAcentral. Lineage: Eukaryota; Metazoa; Chordata; Mammalia; Didelphimorphia; Didelphidae.